GAUGAACGCUGGCGGCGUGCCUAAUACAUGCAAGUCGAGCGAACAGAUAAGGAGCUUGCUCCUUUGACGUUAGCGGCGGACGGGUGAGUAACACGUGGGUAACCUACCUAUAAGACUGGAAUAACUCCGGGAAACCGGGGCUAAUGCCGGAUAACAUUUAGAACCGCAUGGUUCUAAAGUGAAAGAUGGUUUUGCUAUCACUUAUAGAUGGACCCGCGCCGUAUUAGCUAGUUGGUAAGGUAACGGCUUACCAAGGCAACGAUACGUAGCCGACCUGAGAGGGUGAUCGGCCACACUGGAACUGAGACACGGUCCAGACUCCUACGGGAGGCAGCAGUAGGGAAUCUGCCGCAAUGGGCGAAAGCCUGACGGAGCAACGCCGCGUGAGUGAUGAAGGUCUUCGGAUCGUAAAACUCUGUUAUUAGGGAAGAACAAAUGUGUAAGUAACUGUGCACGUCUUGACGGUACCUAAUCAGAAAACCACGGCUAACUACGU
Molecule: ribosomal RNA, 496 nt
Filed under: uncultured bacterium
Lineage: Bacteria
Description: partial 16S ribosomal RNA
Rfam family: Bacterial small subunit ribosomal RNA
Source: RNAcentral